RNAcentral lists this ribosomal RNA (500 nucleotides) under uncultured bacterium. Its description in RNAcentral is "bacterial SSU rRNA". It matches the Rfam family "Bacterial small subunit ribosomal RNA", at positions 8 to 533 of the family's 1533-position model. The record is from RNAcentral.
AGAGUUUGAUCAUGGCUCAGAACGAACGCUGGCGGCGCGCCUAACACAUGCAAGUCGAACGCACCCUUCGGGGUGAGUGGCGGACGGGUGAGUAGCGCGUGGGAACCUGCCCCGAGCACCGGGACAACCGCGGGAAACUGCGGCUAAUACCGGAUGACGCCCUCUCGCGAGAGGGGGCCAAAGUCCCAUCUUUGGUGGGGCGGCUUGGGAGGGGCCCGCGUCCGAUUAGCUGGUUGGUGGGGUAACGGCCCACCAAGGCGGUGAUCGGUAGCUGGUCUGAGAGGACGAUCAGCCACACUGGGACUGAGACACGGCCCAGACUCCUACGGGAGGCAGCAGUGGGGAAUAUUGGACAAUGGGCGCAAGCCUGAUCCAGCCAUGCCGCGUGAGUGAUGAAGGCCCUAGGGUUGUAAAGCUCUUUCGCACGCGACGAUAAUGACGGUAGCGUGAGAAGAAGCCCCGGCUAACUUCGUGCCAGCAGCCGCGGUAAUACGAAGGGG